RNAcentral lists this long non-coding RNA (213 nucleotides) under Elaeis guineensis (African oil palm). RNAcentral describes it as "long non-coding RNA (EGUI_LNC079087)". The record is from RNAcentral. Lineage: Eukaryota; Viridiplantae; Streptophyta; Magnoliopsida; Arecales; Arecaceae.
CUACCCCCUUUUCAUGAAGAAGGCUGCCUUGAUGCCUCUCCUCCCUAUCUUUCCCUUUUCCCCACUAUCAGUCAUGGCCACCUUGCCAUAGGCCACCACUGCCUCACCGCCCUAGCUACACCACCAUCGAACCCCACCUCAUUUUCCCUUCCCUCCAUUCUUUCUUAAAUAGCCACGGGAAGAACCCCUAUGUCAGCAUGCGGGGGAGGGAGA